Molecule: ribosomal RNA, 444 nt
Filed under: Aeromonas veronii
Lineage: Bacteria; Pseudomonadati; Pseudomonadota; Gammaproteobacteria; Aeromonadales; Aeromonadaceae
Description: bacterial SSU rRNA
Rfam family: Bacterial small subunit ribosomal RNA
Source: RNAcentral
GCAACCCUCGUUCUAUGUUGCCAGCACGUAAUGGUGGGAACUCAUGGGAUACUGCCGGGGUCAACUCGGAGGAAGGUGGGGAUGACGUCAAAUCAUCAUGCCCCUUAUGAUUUGGGCUACACACGUGCUACAAUGGACAAUACAAAGGGCAGCGAAACCGCGAGGUCAAGCAAAUCCCAUAAAGUUGUUCUCAGUUCGGAUUGUAGUCUGCAACUCGACUACAUGAAGCUGGAAUCGCUAGUAAUCGUAGAUCAGCAUGCUACGGUGAAUACGUUCCCGGGUCUUGUACACACCGCCCGUCACACCACGAGAGUUUGUAACACCCGAAGCCGGUGGAGUAACCUUUUAGGAGCUAGCCGUCGAAGGUGGGACAAAUGAUUGGGGUGAAGUCGUAACAAGGUAGCCGUAUCGGAAGGUGCGGCUGGAUCACCUCCUUUCUAAGGA